This 1359-nucleotide ribosomal RNA is filed under the name uncultured bacterium. RNAcentral's name for it is "bacterial SSU rRNA". It matches the Rfam family "Bacterial small subunit ribosomal RNA", at positions 28 to 1381 of the family's 1533-position model. The record is from RNAcentral.
AUUGAACGCUGGCGGCAUGCCUUACACAUGCAAGUCGAACGGCAGCACGGACUUCGGUCUGGUGGCGAGUGGCGAACGGGUGAGUAAUGUAUCGGAACGUACCUUUCAGUGGGGGAUAACGUAGCGAAAGUUACGCUAAUACCGCAUAUUCUGUGAGCAGGAAAGCAGGGGAUCGCAAGACCUUGCGCUGAUUGAGCGGCCGAUAUCAGAUUAGCUAGUUGGUGGGGUAAAGGCCUACCAAGGCUACGAUCUGUAGCGGGUCUGAGAGGAUGAUCCGCCACACUGGAACUGAGACACGGUCCAGACUCCUACGGGAGGCAGCAGUGGGGAAUUUUGGACAAUGGGGGCAACCCUGAUCCAGCCAUGCCGCGUGAGUGAAGAAGGCCUUCGGGUUGUAAAGCUCUUUCGGCCGGGAAGAAAUCGCAUCAGCUAAUACCUGGUGUGGAUGACGGUACCGGAAUAAGAAGCACCGGCUAACUACGUGCCAGCAGCCGCGGUAGUACGUAGGGUGCGAGCGUUAAUCGGAAUUACUGGGCGUAAAGCGUGCGCAGGCGGUUGUGUAAGACAGGCGUGAAAUCCCCGGGCUCAACCUGGGAACUGCGCUUGUGACUGCACAGCUAGAGUACGGCAGAGGGGGGUGGAAUUCCACGUGUAGCAGUGAAAUGCGUAGAGAUGUGGAGGAACACCGAUGGCGAAGGCAGCCCCCUGGGCCGAUACUGACGCUCAUGCACGAAAGCGUGGGUAGCAAACAGGAUUAGAUACCCUGGUAGUCCACGCCCUAAACGAUGUCAACUAGGUGUUGGGUGGGUAAAACCAUUUAGUACCGUAGCUAACGCGUGAAGUUGACCGCCUGGGGAGUACGGCCGCAAGGUUAAAACUCAAAGGAAUUGACGGGGACCCGCACAAGCGGUGGAUGAUGUGGAUUAAUUCGAUGCAACGCGAAAAACCUUACCUACCCUUGACAUGUCCAGAAGCCCGAAGAGAUUUGGGUGUGCCCGAAAGGGAACUGGAACACAGGUGCUGCAUGGCUGUCGUCAGCUCGUGUCGUGAGAUGUUGGGUUAAGUCCCGCAACGAGCGCAACCCUUGUCGUUAAUUGCCAUCAUUUAGUUGGGCACUUUAACGAGACUGCCGGUGACAAACCGGAGGAAGGUGGGGAUGACGUCAAGUCCUCAUGGCCCUUAUGGGUAGGGCUUCACACGUCAUACAAUGGUCGGUACAGAGGGUUGCCAAGCCGCGUGGUGGAGCCAAUCCCAGAAAGCCGAUCGUAGUCCGGAUUGCAGGCUGCAACUCGCCUGCAUGAAGUCGGAAUCGCUAGUAAUCGCGGAUCAGCAUGUCGCGGUGAAUACGUUCCCGGGUCU